GUACACUCCUACGGGAGGCAGCAGUGGGGAAUUUUGGACAAUGGGCGAAAGCCUGAUCCAGCAAUGCCGCGUGAGUGAAGAAGGCCUUCGGGUUGUAAAGCUCUUUUGUCAGGGAAGAAACGGUGAAAGCUAAUAUCUUUUGCUAAUGACGGUACCUGAAGAAUAAGCACCGGCUAACUACGUGCCAGCAGCCGCGGUAAUACGUAGGGUGCAAGCGUUAAUCGGAAUUACUGGGCGUAAAGCGUGCGCAGGCGGUUUUGUAAGUCUGAUGUGAAAUCCCCGGGCUCAACCUGGGAAUUGCAUUGGAGACUGCAAGGCUAGAAUCUGGCAGAGGGGGGUAGAAUUCCACGUGUAGCAGUGAAAUGCGUAGAUAUGUGGAGGAACACCGAUGGCGAAGGCAGCCCCCUGGGUCAAGAUUGACGCUCAUGCACGAAAGCGUGGGGAGCAAACCGGAUUAGAUACCCCAGUAGUCCCA
RNAcentral lists this ribosomal RNA (475 nucleotides) under uncultured organism. Its description in RNAcentral is "partial 16S ribosomal RNA". It matches the Rfam family "Bacterial small subunit ribosomal RNA", at positions 331 to 797 of the family's 1533-position model. The record is from RNAcentral.